AUCAGGCGGAGAGAAAUUACAACCAUCAUCAUCAGGCCGAGAGUAAUUACAACCACCAUCAUCAGGCCGAGAGUAAUUACAACCACCACCAUCAGGCGGACAGCAAUUACAACCACCAUCAUCAAGCCGAGAGACCGGAUUAAAGGACAGCUGGGCGACCCAAGACCCACGUGACGCAAGACCGUGGAAGUAGGAGCUGGCAGCAGCGAUCGACCUUUUUUGGGGCGAGUCUCAACACCUUGCCGAGGACAGGAAGAAAGGGGAUGGCGUUCCAGACUGUGGGGGCAGCCACCGAGAAGCGGCGCAUAGCCGUGACCGUCCUGGAUCUUGAUAUCGAGAGGAGGUCAUCAGUCGCACUGUGAAGCAAUCUGCCGUGUGCUGUGCUGCAAGUCGUCACUAGUGAAGAGAGGUAAGGGGUUGGGUUAUUAAUUACGCGACCUAGCCCAACAAAACCCCCCUUCAUCGCGGAUAUUGGUCGCGAAAGUCUACUCGCGCGUUAAACUCAGGAACACCGCGGGGGGACGGGAUUCCCGUGGCGUUUCUCAGUCCGGCGUUAUGCUCUGCCAGCGUGCGUGCGUUUCCUUGUAAACGGCAGAAUUCCGACAAU
This is a long non-coding RNA of Lethenteron reissneri (Far Eastern brook lamprey), 607 nucleotides long. RefSeq lists it as uncharacterized. Lineage: Eukaryota; Metazoa; Chordata; Hyperoartia; Petromyzontiformes; Petromyzontidae. The record is from RefSeq and is a predicted model, not a curated record.